GAUGCUUGCAUCUGAACUUAGUGGCGGACGGGUGAGUAACACGUGAGCAACCUGCCUUUCAGAGGGGGAAACGUUUGGAAACGAACGCUAAUACCGCAUAAAAUAUCGGAGUCGCAUGGCACUGAUAUCAAAGGAGCAAUCCGCUGAAAGAUGGGCUCGCGUCCGAUUAGGCAGUUGGCGGGGUAACGGCCCACCAAACCGACAAUCGGUAGCCGGACUGAGAGGUUGAACGGCCACAUUGGGACUGAGACACGGCCCAGACUCCUACGGGAGGCAGCAGUGGGGGGUAUUGCACAAUGGGGGAAACCCUGAUGCAGCGAUGCCGCGUGAAUGAAGACGGCCUUCGGGUUGUAAAGUUCUGUCGCAGGGGACGAAAAUGACGGUACCCUGCAAGAAAGCUCCGGCUAACUACGUGCCAGCAGCCGCGGUAAUACGUAGGGAGCAAGCGUUGUCCGGAAUUACUGGGUGUAAAGGGAGCGUAGGCGGGAGGAUAAGUUGAAUGUGAAAUCUAUGGGCUCAACCCAUAGCUGCGUUCAAAACUGUUCUUCUUGAGUGAAGUAGAGGCAGGCGGAAUUCCUAGUGUAGCGGUGAAAUGCGUAGAUAUUAGGAGGAACACCAGUGGCGAAGGCGGCCUGCUGGGCUUUUACUGACGCUGAGGCUCGAAAGCGUGGGUAGCAAACAGGAUUAGAUACCCUGGUAGUCCACGCGGUAAACGAUGAUUACUAGGUGUGGGUGGACUGACCCCAUCCGUGCCGGAGUUAACACAAUAAGUAAU
Molecule: ribosomal RNA, 775 nt
Filed under: uncultured bacterium
Lineage: Bacteria
Description: bacterial SSU rRNA
Rfam family: Bacterial small subunit ribosomal RNA
Source: RNAcentral